Molecule: ribosomal RNA, 1044 nt
Filed under: Triticum aestivum (bread wheat)
Lineage: Eukaryota; Viridiplantae; Streptophyta; Magnoliopsida; Poales; Poaceae
Description: partial small subunit ribosomal RNA
Source: RNAcentral
AUGGCUGCCUCUGCCGCAGACGAUGUUGUUGAGCUUGCGAUCACCUCACUUCCCCUAGAGACGCGGUUCCCGCCGUUCCGUCUGAGGCAAUAUGGUGGGUUCUGGCUGGUGGAGAAGUUCCUCAAGGGUGUUCUAGCCGUCCAUUCGGUCGUCGAGACAAGGCCGUCGGAUGUCCUCCUCGGUAGCUUCCCCAAGUGCGGCACCACCUGGCUCAAGGCCCUCGCCUUCGCCACACGCAACCUGGUUGAGCACUCGCCCCAUGACCUCCACCACCCGCUCCGGCGUUGCAACCCCCACGACAUGGUCCGGUACAUGGAGAUAGAGUUCGGGCGGUUGUUGGACGACGGUGGAGCAGACGACGUGUUCGUGGCGCUCCCCUCACCGCGCUUGCUCGCCACACACCUGCCCUACUCUCUCCUGCCACGGCGCAUCACCGCGGAGGAGUCCAGAGGAAUAAGUGUCAUGUACAUCUGCCGGGACCCAAAGGACGCAUUCAUUUCCUCGUGGUUCUUCACCAUGAAGGAGGCGGCGGCCACGGCUGCUCGAGCACAAGCCGGCGAGGACACGGACAAGCAGCAGACGGAGCCGGCGCCGUACACAUUCGAAGAGGCGUUCGAGCUGUUCUGCGACGGCAAAUGUGUCAACGGCCCGCAGUGGCGCCACGUGGUGGGCUACUGGGAGGAGAGCAGGAGGCGGCCGGAGAAGGUGCUCUUCCUCCGGUACGACGAGAUGCUUUGGAACCCCGCGAGGAACGUGAAGAAGCUGGCGGAGUUCAUGGGGUGCAUCUUCUCCCGCAAGGAGGAGGCCGAUGGAGUGGUGCAGGCCAUCGUGGAGUUGUGCAGCCUCGAGAGCCUGAAAAACAUGGCCGUGAACAAGAGUGGCAGCCAUGGUCCUGGAGCAACCACAUCACACCGGCAAUGGCGGAGCGGCUGGACAAGAUCGUCGAGGAGGCACUGCAAGGCUCUGGGUUCAGCUUCGCCGUCGCAGAAUCGUCCUGGUGAAUGUGCUAGCGACAUGCAUGGAUGCAUGCAUCAGCAUGCAUGA